Molecule: long non-coding RNA, 6418 nt
Filed under: Homo sapiens (human)
Lineage: Eukaryota; Metazoa; Chordata; Mammalia; Primates; Hominidae
Description: HSALNT0301683
Source: RNAcentral
GUUCCAUCGCCUGCACUUCUAGAUUCAUUGUCUCCUUCCUCUGAUGUAACCAAGAAGUCAAACUCCUUUAGAGCUUCUUUUGUAUCUCGAUCUUCACCGCUGUCAGGCAAUGCUUUUUUCCUAACAAUCUAAUGAAAAAACAUGCUAAAUUAAAUAAAGGAGAUAGUUUCCCUUUACCACUGAAUAAGAAAAUUCAAUUAUUUUCUUCAGAAAGUAUACGUUUGUUGUGUUAAAUAACUGUACUACCUAACUCAGUGAAAAUCACAUAGUUUUAAAAAAUAUGUACAUUAUAAAUUUUAAAGCAGUAAUUUAAACUUUGCUCAACGGUAUUAUGGCUUGUUUUAAGUAAACUAACGGAACCACAUACUGAAAUAUAAGACAUGUACUGAAAUGACAGAUAUACGAUUUACAAGGUUCCCAUAAUUAUUUCUACUGUCCUAACCUUGCAUCAGUUUUCUCUAGUAGCUCUCCAUGUAUUUAUUUUUUUCCCUAAAAUGUUGAUCUUUCAGAGUACAUCUAACUUAGAUUUAACAACAAAUUGGUAAAGGUUGCUAUGGUUCAUUUUUCUAUAUUUAGAAAUAACUCUGGAAUCACAAAUCCAAUUGAAGGGCUAAAACUUAAGCUGAAUACAUGCAGGGACAAUUUUUGUGAUCUACAUGCCUAAGCUCUUUAUGAACUGUCUCCAUCUCAGUCACCUUUACCAACAUGGGCCUAAAGAAAUUAGGAUGCUAGGUUUGCAUUUUCUUUGAAUAAGAUUUCAAUAUCUCAGUUUCUCUAGACUUCAGCUUACUCACUUCAUGCAAAACAGAAAUAACAUGAUAGGAUCAAAUGUUAUCGCUGGGCUAUUGUGAGUGGCUUAAAAUUAUAAAAGUUUUACAGACAGACCAAUAGGAUAGACUAGAGAGUUGAGAAGUAGACCCCAAAGAUGACAAACACGUGACUUGUAUGGCCCUGUUCCCAUGCUGUUAAUUGGUAUCAUUCAUCAAUCACAGCAUUCUUCUUCAAAAACAAGAUACAGCCUCAGAAAUCCUUCUCAGUACAGCACUCCAAGAAGCCACUACCAACAGAACAAAGGUGGCAUCAUAAACAACUCCUAUCUAGCCUUAACUGUCCUGAUACAUAUAAAAACUGUAAAGGAGUGGCCGGGCCCGGUGGCUCAUGCCUGUAAUCCCAGCACUUUGGGAGGCCGAGGUGGGUGGAUCAAGAGGUCAGGAGAUCGAGACCAUCCUGGCUAACACGGUGAAACCCUGUCUCUACUAAAAAGACAAAAAAUUAGCCAGGCAUGGUGGCAGGCACCUGUAGUCCCAGCUACUCGGGAGGCUGAGGCAGAAGAAUGGCGUGAACCUGGGAGGCAGAGCUUGCAGUGAGCCAAGAUCGCGCCACUGCACUCCAGCCUGGGCGACAGAGCAAGACUCCGUCUAAAAAAAAAAAAAACACAAUUGGAUAGGAGAAAUCAAAGGAUUAUUUAAUGAUGCUAGAAUAAUUUGUUUAACUAUUUGGGAUAUUUUCCUAAAAUCAAGAAAUACUUCUAUGCUUACAGCACCUCCCAAUCUACCAUCUAGCAAAUCUAUUAGACAAACAAACAAAAAAAGCAAGAUCAGUGUGGCAGACUGGGAACAGAAAACCCGUGCUGAAUGUGUAUUCUUUUAUAAAUACAAACCAUAUUCUAAUAAUCUAUUCUAAUUUUCCCUAGGUAGCCAGACUAAGGUAGAAAGGUGUAUCUGGGCCAGGUACGGUGGCUCAUGCCUGUAAUCCCAGCACUUUGGGAGGCCGAGAUGGGUGGAUCACGAGGUCAGGAGGUGGAGACCCUCCUGCCUAACAUGGUAAAAACCCCGUCUCUACUAAAAAUACAAAAAAAAAAAAAAAAAAUUAGCGAGGCAUGGUGGUGGGCACCUGUAGUCCCAGCUACUCGGGAGGCUGAGGCAGGAGAAUGGCGUGAACCCAGGAGGCGGAGCUUGCAGUGAGCUGACAUCACGCCACUGCGCCCCAGCCUGGGUGACAGUGCGAGACUCCAUCUCAAAAAAAAAGAAAAAAAACAGGUGUAUCUGAAGAGUUAUGCCAACAGGACACCCCAAUUCUCAGAGUUCCACAUAUAAAUAUAUUGCCUAAUCUACCUUCUUUUACCCUAGAGGCUUAAUCCCUCCAUCUUCUAGACUCUGAUGAGUUGCCAGCUGUAAUUCAGAGGGACCACCACCAACAUCUUACAGAGUCCUCGUUCUCACUGCCUGACAAAAAGAGCAGGCAAAAUCCAUAAGAAGCAUGUGGAACCUCAAAUUCCAAGUAUGAAUAUAUUUUCAACAUUAAAUAUUAGGUAUUAAGUAAUAAAAGCAACUCUUGGGGGGAAAAACUUGUUUCUAGUCUCACCACCUCAGUAUAACCUUACAAAGAAUAAAGAUAAAUGACAUUUAUUACUGUCAUUGCAGAUUACUAUUUACUAAGUAUCUCACUUUAAAUAAAUAAACCAAAAGUCCUCUGCUUUUAAUGUUUGGGUAGAGAAGAAAAAUGAAUUGUGUUUACCACUGGAGAACAGGAUCAGAAUCGGAAGAGGUAGAGUUUGUAAUAAUAAGCAUGUAUUACUUUUCUUCCUGACAUAGAAGGUUCCACUCCACUUCUACCUUCGAUGAGCUUAUAAAUCAAUUUAGGAAAUUAAGAGAAAACCAAAGAAGUUAUGGGUUGCACAGGAUGCCUAAGUAGAUUAGAAAAAUGAAUAAACUGUCACUUCAAAAACCAUUAGGAGGGCCAUGACACAAGGGGACGUGGGAUUCUUUAUACUGUGGCUAAAAAAAAUAGUUAAUAGCUCUUAGUUCCAUUCUUUUUCCUCCUAAAGUUCCUGAAUGUGGAGACUAAAUGCUGCUGCAGAAGUUAGGCUUCACACAGUUUGAAACUGAUCACUUUUUACAUGCAUGUAUAAUCUCAGAGUUGUUAUUACACUUAACUGGUGAUGACGAGAAUACUGAUAAUGAUGGCAAAGAAAAAUAAGGGCCAAGUGCAGUGACUCACACCUGUAAUCCCUGCACUUUGGGAGGCCAAGGCAGGCGGAUCACCUGAGGUCAGGAGUUCGAGACCAGCCUGACCAACAUGGAGAAACCCUGUCUCUACUAAAAAUACAGCAUCAGCCGGGUGUGGUGGUGCAUGCUUGUAAUCCCAGCUACUCGGGAGGCUGAGACAGGAGAAUUGCUUGAACCCAGGAGGCGGAGGUUGCAGUCAGCUGAGAUUACACCACUGCACUCCAGCCUGGGCAACAAGAGUGAAACUCCGUCUCAAAAAAAAAAAGAAAAAUAAAAUAAAAUAACAUUUUUAAAACUUGUUCUACUUGACAUUUUAAUAGGAUAACUUUCAGCUUUUCCUAUAGAAUGCAGUAAGUUAUGCUUAUUCACUGCUACACAGAAUUAGGUUGUUAAAGUCCUUUUCGGCAUAUAGCUAUGUGAGUGUAGCUGUGCAAAUUAAUGUAAUAUAAUGUAAAAAAUAAGCAAAACUGUUAAAACCAGUGAUUUGCUUAGAAAUAUUUUUUUCCAAAAAAAACUAAAAAAUAUAUAUAUAUUUUUUUUUUGAGACAGUCUCGCUCUGUCACCCAGGCUGGAGUGCAGUGGCGCAAUCUCAGCUCACUGCAAGCUCUGCCUCCUGGGUUCACGCCAUUCUCCUGCCUCAGCCUCCCGAGUAGCUGGGACUACAGGCACUCGCCACCAUACCCAGCUAAUUUUUUUUGUAUUUUUAGUAGAGACAGGGUUUCACCGCGUUAGCCAGGAUGGUCUUGAUCUCCUGACCUAGUGAUCCAUCCGUCUCGGCCUCCCAAAGUGCUGGGAUUACAGGUGUGAGCCACCGUACCCAGCCAAAACUAAAAAAAUUUUUGAGUGCAGUAGCAUGAUCAUGGCUCACUGCAACAUCAAAUUCCUGGGCUCAAGCGAUCCUCCUUCCUCAGCCUCCCAUGCAGUAUCACACAUGGCUAAUUAAAAAAAAAUUUUUUUUUUAGAUAUGGGGUCUUGCUAUGUUGCCUAGGCUGGUCCCAAACUCCUGGCCUCAAGUGAUCCUCCCACUUCAGCCUCCUGAGUAGCUGGGGUUACAGGCACAAGCCACUGCACGCAGCACAGAACUGCUAUGAUCUGCACUAAUUAGAAGACAGUAUAUUUAUUAUGUUGUUUACUUAAAAAGACAACAGUCUAUGGUUUAGGAAUUUCUAGUAAGAUCAUAUGUAACAGUUUUAAUAAUUAGUUUAUAAAUAUUUUAAAUAUUUAAAUUGAUAUCACUAACAGAAACAUAGCAUCAUGAUUCAAGGCAUUAUUUAAUACUGAGCUAUGAAUAAAGUAUUUUGAUGGAAAAAUAAUAUCUCAAUGCCAGCAUCCCACAGAAAUCACAAGGGACUACCCAAUUUCCAGAUGAUCAGGACACAGAAAAAGUGUCAUUGAAAUUUAGGCUUUUCCUUUUACUAUGGUAAAUUAAGACACAGGCUAUUACUACUUCUUUGGAUAAGAAAAAUUGGAAGUUACUACUUGAAUUUCAAAUAAUUUCCAAGGCAGGGCUUUACCAGUAGAGUACUAUUGAAUAGUCGUGAUGGAAAACAAUAAUCUGGUAGUAAUAAUUUGAGUCUCUGAUGGAGCCUCAGAAGCAGAAGGCAUAAAACACACAGAGGUUACACUUAGAAAGCACUUUAUAGUUAAACAGAUCAUUUUCGCACAUAGUGUCUCUUUGUUCCUCACAAAAUCCUCCAAGGUUAAGAUGGCUAUUUAUAACAAUCCUCAUUUUACAAAUGAAAAAACUAAGCCUGAAGCAUUAAGAAACACAAAUAGUGGCAGAACUGGAGCUUAAACCCAAGUCUUUUAGUUAGAGGUCCGAUCUGCUUUAUAUUACUUUACUUUCCUCCUCUCUAUUCAUAAAUUAAUGUGAAAGAGAAAAUGCAAACAUUUUCCUAGACAAAGUGAAACAUGUCCUCAUAUCUUACUUUAAAAAGAAGGAAAAGGAGUAGGAGGAAGAAGGAAGGAGAGAGAGAAGGGAGAAGGGGAAGAGGGGAGAAAAGCGAAGAGAGAGGAAAAGGGGGAAAGAGGGAAGAAGAGAAGAAAAUGGAGAAGGGAAGAGAAAGAAGUGGCUACUUCGAGACAUCUCUCAUUCCAAGAACCUGCCAUGGGAAAGUCAAUAAGCUUAUCAACAUCUGAACAAAACUUGAGAAGAACCCUAAACAAUUUUGAAGAACUCUAAUGGAAGAGUUCUGAAAGUUUGCCUACCAAAACAAUCCUGACAAGAGACAAAAACUGCAUAUAUUAGAGCUGAUGCUAGCUGCCAUCAGGCACCAUGAUGUGUCUGUCAAUUCUAUUCUCUUGUAACAACCAAUAACCCUGCAUUGUUAUAACACACAAUAUUUACUAUAUUCAUCUGCCCCAUAGAAAAGUUGUCCUGUUCAAUGAAUGAACAAAAAGUCAAACAGUGAGGAAUUUCAAGAGAAAGCUACUAUAUUAAAAAUAUUCUCAACUUGAAAUCAGUAUUACAAACUCUCAUAAAUGUCUCCAAAUUCAUGAAAAAGAAAAAGCUACGGGUUAAGAUUAAAGAACAUGGAUUCUUUUAUGCAUUAUACAGUAUGUAUUAUAGUCCCUAAAAAUAUUUAUAUUGUAUGAGUUAUCUAACUCACUGUUGAAGUAUCAAUGACGCUUUUCUCUCUUCCAUCAACAUCAUCAUCUUCAUCUUCAUCACUGAAAUCUGCAGCUGCACUUUCAAGGAAUUUGAAAUUAUCCAGCACGGAGGCAGAAUCUGUUAACUCAGACUUUCCAGACAAAAUACUUACGCAAUCAUUGCUGUCUCUUUAACUUCAGCCUCUGUGCCAUUUACAACUGAGUCCUGAUUUUUGUCAUCUUCCCUGUCCGUGACAUCACUUGAAAAGCCCAACAAAGCUCGCACUCGUUUAGAUUUCACAUCUAGAAUAGUAUCUGUAUAACCCACCUCCUGUAGAUACCUGUGUGAAGAGAAUCCUUAGAGUUCAGUCAUACUGGAAUCAGUAUUCUAUAAUUUAAUAUGUAAAUAAAAGUAUUUAUUUAAACUCAUUGCCUGCAUAAGACUUAACAGUACAGUACUAUGCUAGUAAGACUUGUUAAUAAAUAAUCUUCCAGCUGCAGAUGGAGCUGUCUCUUGCAGUACCAGCCUCUACAGUCACUGAGAAAAAUGAGAGAACUAUACAAUACACCAUUCAUUACAUUUACCAUAAGAAGAAGCUGGUCUUUAAUAUAUCUAAUAGCACAUUCUUUUCUUUAGGCUGGAUUGGAGCUAGACUACCAAAUCAGUAUUUUAUAAUAGUUAUUCCGGUAGUUUUUUUAAAUUUGUCAUGGAUCAACUGUUUGUGAUCUAGACAGAAUGUUCCUAGCAUAUAUCGUCUCCUUCAUUACACACAAGGUAGUUAUUUCUCGAGUCACUCUACAGAAUUGAAGCUCCUAUCCUG